CCAUGCUGGACCUGAAUACGAGUUGAUAUUGAAUAACCUACUGAACACUUCAGAUAUAUUUAGUGGCAGCACAACUCAGUCUAGCCAGUGAUAUGGAUUAGCAUUACAUAGGAUAAGCUGUGGUCAUCAUCAAGCAAAUUCCCAUACCUAUUCAUUUCAUUCGACCCCAAUGGUAGUUUAGAAAUCUCGCCGGCCGCGGACAUGUCCCAUAUUACAAAGUCACAGGUAGGAAGCGAAGGUUUAAUUUUCAGCAGUGCAGCUUUGUCUUUCACGUUGUGCAAAAAUGGUCAAGAUUUGUCAUGGGAGACAAGUACAUUUUUGUUGACGCUUAGACCUAGCAUUUAAAAAAAUAUAACUCAUACCUCGCGUCUGGCCCUCUCAGCGAAAGCGAGACCCUGUCCCCUCUGUCCCCGUCUGCUGCCUCAAGCCUUCCUGUAAGCAAGAAUUAGUUCUCUAUGCAGAUAUCGCUCCGCAUAAAAAUUCGGCGUACGGGAAAUUUGUUUUGUACCGACCUAUAAUAGAACCUUGACGGAGACUCCUCGCAUGAAGCUCGUACCUUGGAUGACGGAACCUUGGCUCCCAUUCGUUGACGUCCUCGACUGAGACGUUCACUCUCGCUGUAUCGUUCUGAACAGUAGCAAUUUGGAAAAUUGAUUAUGGAGCUAAAGUUAAAAUGAAGAGACAGAAAUGGAAACCCAACGCCUUACGUGGUGCCCGUCCGUCACGUGAACCCGGAAGCUGUGCUGUAUCCGACGCUCGUAGUCUAGGGUACCCUUCAGGAUGAGCUCACCGGAUCUUGUGAUGGCGAACCUCUCGAGAUCCUCGCCCGCCCCGACCAGCCAGAACCUCAAGUUCUACAGUUAGGUAACGUGUGAAGAGAUCCGUUUACCGGCUGUGGGUCCGGCGCCGAGUCCUCCCUCCCGGGCGACGACGACAGUUGCCAGAGCGUAUCGAUCCGGAUUGUCAACCUGGGUCGCCUGCGAUUGCCAUGAAUGGAACAACAUAGACAUUAUAAGAACAUCGACUCGCCUUUAUCACCAGCGUCGUGGGUGCGACGACCUCGUGGUCCCUCAGGC
Molecule: long non-coding RNA, 1076 nt
Organism: Neodiprion virginianus
Lineage: Eukaryota; Metazoa; Arthropoda; Insecta; Hymenoptera; Diprionidae
Exons: 4
Source: RefSeq, a predicted model, not a curated record